GUGUAUUUAUUAGAUAAAAAACCAAUGCCCUUCGGGGCUCCUUGGUGAAUCAUAAUAACUUAACGAAUCGCAUGGCCUUGCGCCGGCGAUGGUUCAUUCAAAUUUCUGCCCUAUCAACUUUCGAUGGUAAGAUAGAGGCUUACCAUGGUCUUAACGGGUAACGGGGAAUUAGGGUUCUAUUCCGGAGAGGGAGCCUGAGAAACGGCUACCACAUCCAAGGAAGGCAGCAGGCGCGCAAAUUACCCAAUCCCGACACGGGGAGGUAGUGACAAUAAAUACUGAUACGGGGCUCUUUUGGGUCUCGUAAUUGGAAUGAGUACAAUCUAAAUCCCUUAACGAGGAACAAUUGGAGGGCAAGUCUGGUGCCAGCAGCCGCGGUAAUUCCAGCUCCAAUAGCGUAUAUUAAAGUUGUUGCCGUUAAAAAGCUCGUAGUUGAACCUUGGGCCUGGCUGACCUGUCCUCCUAAUCGAGCGCACGGGUUCGGUCGGGCCUUUCCUUCUAGGGAACCCCAUGCCCUUCACUGGGUGUGGUGGGGAACUAGGACUUUUACCUUGAAAAAAUUAGAGUGUUCAAAGCAGGCCUUUGCUCGAAUACAUUAGCAUGGAAUAAUAGAAUAGGACAUCGGUUCUAUUUUGUUGGUUUCUAG
This 646-nucleotide ribosomal RNA is filed under the name Chaetothyriales sp. Its description in RNAcentral is "SSU rRNA". It matches the Rfam family "Eukaryotic small subunit ribosomal RNA", at positions 201 to 854 of the family's 1831-position model. The record is from RNAcentral. Lineage: Eukaryota; Fungi; Ascomycota; Eurotiomycetes; Chaetothyriales.